Molecule: ribosomal RNA, 251 nt
Filed under: uncultured prokaryote
Description: partial 16S rRNA
Rfam family: Bacterial small subunit ribosomal RNA
Source: RNAcentral
ACGGAGGGUGCAAGCGUUACUCGGAAUCACUGGGCGUAAAGGACGCGUAGGCGGGUUGGUAAGUCAGAUGUGAAAUCCUACAGCUUAACUGUAGAACUGCAUUUGAAACUACCGACCUAGAGUAUGGGAGGGGGAGAUGGAAUUAGUGGUGUAGGGGUAAAAUCCGUAGAUAUCACUAGGAAUACCGAAAGCGAAGGCGAUCUCCUGGAACAUUACUGACGCUAAGGCGUGAAAGCGUGGGGAGCAAACAG